AACACAUGCAAGUCGAGGGGCAGCAUGGUCUUAGCUUGCUAAGGCCGAUGGCGACCGGCGCACGGGUGAGUAACGCGUAUCCAACCUGCCUUACACUCUUGGACAGCCUUCUGAAAGGGAGAUUAAUACAAGAUGUUAUCAUGAGUAAGCAUUUUCGCAUGAUUAAAGGUUUACCGGUGUAAGAUGGGGAUGCGUUCCAUUAGAUAGUAGGCGGGGUAACGGCCCACCUAGUCUUCGAUGGAUAGGGGUUCUGAGAGGAAGGUCCCCCACAUUGGAACUGAGACACGGUCCAAACUCCUACGGGAGGCAGCAGUGAGGAAUAUUGGUCAAUGGACGAGAGUCUGAACCAGCCAAGUAGCGUGAAGGAUGAAGGUUCUAUGGAUUGUAAACUUCUUUUAUACGGGAAUAAACGGAUCCACGUGUGGAUUUUUGCAUGUACCGUAUGAAUAAGGAUCGGCUAACUCCGUGCCAGCAGCCGCGGUAAUACGGAGGAUCCGAGCGUUAUCCGGAUUUAUUGGGUUUAAAGGGAGCGUAGAUGGGUUGUUAAGUCAGUUGUGAAAGUUUGCGGCUCAACCGUAAAAUUGCAAUUGAUACUGGCAGUCUUGAGUACAGUUGAGGUAGGCGGAAUUCGUGGUGUAGCGGUGAAAUGCUUAGAUAUCACGAAGAACUCCGAUUGCGAAGGCAGCUUACUAACCUGUAACUGACAUUGAUGCUCGAAAGUGUGGGUAUCAAACAGGAUUAGAUACCCUGGUAGUCCACACGGUAAACGAUGAAUACUCGCUGUAGGCGAUAUACAGUCUGCGGCCAAGCGAAAGCAUUAAGUAUUCCACCUGGGGAGUACGCCGGCAACGGUGAAACUCAAAGGAAUUGACGGGGGCCCGCACAAGCGGAGGAACAUGUGGUUUAAUUCGAUGAUACGCGAGGAACCUUACCCGGGCUUAAAUUGCAACCGAAUAUGGCGGAAACGCUAUAGCUAGCAAUAGCGGUUGUGAAGGUGCUGCAUGGUUGUCGUCAGCUCGUGCCGUGAGGUGUCGGCUUAAGUGCCAUAACGAGCGCAACCCUUGCCGAUAGUUACUAACAGGUCAUGCUGAGGACUCUGUCGGGACUGCCAUCGUAAGAUGUGAGGAAGGUGGGGAUGACGUCAAAUCAGCACGGCCCUUACGUCCGGGGCUACACACGUGUUACAAUGGGGGGUACAGAGGGCUGCUACCACGCAAGUGGAUGCCAAUCCCAAAAACCUCUCUCAGUUCGGAUUGAAGUCUGCAACCCGACUUCAUGAAGCUGGAUUCGCUAGUAAUCGCGCAUCAGCCACGGCGCGGUGAAUACGUUCCCGGGCCUUGUACACACCGCCCGUCAAGCCAUGGGAGCCGGGGGUACCUGAAGUGCGUAACCGCAAGGAGCGCCCUAGGGUAAAACUGGUGACUGGGGCUAA
RNAcentral lists this ribosomal RNA (1432 nucleotides) under uncultured organism. Its description in RNAcentral is "16S ribosomal RNA". It matches the Rfam family "Bacterial small subunit ribosomal RNA". The record is from RNAcentral.